RNAcentral lists this ribosomal RNA (502 nucleotides) under uncultured bacterium. RNAcentral's name for it is "partial 16S ribosomal RNA". It matches the Rfam family "Bacterial small subunit ribosomal RNA", at positions 28 to 523 of the family's 1533-position model. The record is from RNAcentral.
GAUGAACGCUGGCGGCGUGCCUAAUACAUGCAAGUCGAACGAAGAUCUAGCUUGCUAGAUCUUAGUGGCGAACGGGUGAGUAAUACAUAAAUAAUCUGCCCAUAUGACUGGGAUAACUAUUGGAAACGAUAGCUAAUACCGGAUAGGUUGAUCGGAGGCAUCUCUGAUGAAUUAAAGUAGGAUUUCGACACAAAUGGAUGAGUUUAUGGCGCAUUAGUUAGUUGGUGGGUAACGGCCUACCAAGACGAUGAUGCGUAGCCGACCUGAGAGGGUGACCGGCCACACUGGGACUGAGACACGGCCCAGACUCCUACGGGAGGCAGCAGUAGGGAAUUUUCGGCAAUGGGCGCAAGCCUGACCGAGCAACGCCGCGUGAGUGAUUAAGGCCUUCGGGUUGUAAAGCUCUGUUGUAAGGGAAGAACAUUCAGGAUAGGAAAUGAUCUUGAACUGACGGUACCUUACCAGAAAGCCACGGCUAACUACGUGCCAGCCGCCGCAGUAA